Molecule: ribosomal RNA, 253 nt
Filed under: uncultured bacterium
Lineage: Bacteria
Description: partial 16S ribosomal RNA
Rfam family: Bacterial small subunit ribosomal RNA
Source: RNAcentral
UACGAAGGGGGCUAGCGUUGCUCGGAAUCACUGGGCGUAAAGCGCACGUAGGCGGAUUGCUAAGUCAGGGGUGAAAUCCUGGAGCUCAACUCCAGGACUGCCUUUGAUACUGGCGAUCUCGAGUCCGGGAGAGGUGAGUGGAACUGCGAGUGUAGAGGUGAAAUUCGUAGAUAUUCGCAAGAACACCAGUGGCGAAGGCGGCUCACUGGCCCGGUACUGACGCUGAGGUGCGAAAGCGUGGGGAGCAAACAGG